CACGUAGGGGGCGAGCGUUGUCCGGAUUUAUUGGGCGUAAAGAGCGUGUAGGCGGCCAGGUAGGUCCGUUGUGAAAACUGGAGGCUUAACCUCCAGCUGUCGAUGGAAACCAUCUGGCUAGAGUCCGGAAGAGGAGAGUGGAAUUCCUGGUGUAGCGGUGAAAUGCGCAGAUAUCAGGAAGAACACCCGUGGCGAAGGCGGCUCUCUGGGACGGUACUGACGCUGAGACGCGAAAGCGUGGGGAGCGAACAGG
This 253-nucleotide ribosomal RNA is filed under the name uncultured bacterium. RNAcentral describes it as "partial 16S ribosomal RNA". It matches the Rfam family "Bacterial small subunit ribosomal RNA", at positions 524 to 776 of the family's 1533-position model. The record is from RNAcentral.